UACGUAGGGUGCAAGCGUUGUCCGGAAUUAUUGGGCGUAAAGAGCUCGUAGGCGGUCUGUCGCGUCUGCUGUGAAAACUCAGGGCUUAACCCUGAGCUUGCAGUGGGUACGGGCAGACCAGAGUGCGGUAGGGGAGACUGGAAUUCCUGGUGUAGCGGUGAAAUGCGCAGAUAUCAGGAGGAACACCGGUGGCGAAGGCGGGUCUCUGGGCCGUAACUGACGCUGAGGAGCGAAAGCGUGGGGAGCAAACAGG
This 253-nucleotide ribosomal RNA is filed under the name uncultured bacterium. Its description in RNAcentral is "partial 16S ribosomal RNA". It matches the Rfam family "Bacterial small subunit ribosomal RNA", at positions 524 to 776 of the family's 1533-position model. The record is from RNAcentral.